GCUCAGCUGGUUUGUGAGAAGAG
This 23-nucleotide non-coding RNA is filed under the name Mus musculus (house mouse). Lineage: Eukaryota; Metazoa; Chordata; Mammalia; Rodentia; Muridae. The record is from RNAcentral.